GACGAACGCUGGCGGCGCGCCUAAUACAUGCAAGUCGAACGGGUCUCCUUCGGGAGGUCAGUGGCGGACGGGUGAGUAACACGUGGGUGACCUGCCCCGAAGUGGGGAAUAACGCUGCGAAAGCAGCGCUAAUACCGCAUAUGCUUAACGGUCCAAUCUGUUAAGCAAAGCAGCAAUGCGCUUUGGGAGGGGCCUGCGGCAGAUUAGCUAGUCGGUGGGGUAAUGGCCUACCGAGGCGACGAUCUGUAGCUGGUCUGAGAGGAUGACCAGCCACACUGGGACUGAGACACGGCCCAGACUCCUACGGGAGGCAGCAGUAAGGAAUAUUCCACAAUGGGGGAAACCCUGAUGGAGCGACGCCGCGUGCGCGAAGAAG
Molecule: ribosomal RNA, 376 nt
Filed under: uncultured bacterium
Lineage: Bacteria
Description: bacterial SSU rRNA
Rfam family: Bacterial small subunit ribosomal RNA
Source: RNAcentral